RNAcentral lists this ribosomal RNA (213 nucleotides) under Triticum aestivum (bread wheat). RNAcentral's name for it is "partial small subunit ribosomal RNA". The record is from RNAcentral. Lineage: Eukaryota; Viridiplantae; Streptophyta; Magnoliopsida; Poales; Poaceae.
AUGAAACUCUUAAGUUGGAACUGCCGCGGGAUGAGGAAGCCCGCGGCAGUUCGAGCGCUCUUGGGGGUCCUUGAGCGUGUAAAACCGGAUGUGUUGUUCCUGUCUGAGACACAUUUGGAUAGAGCUAAGGCAGGGAAACUAAUGAGGCGAUUGGGUUUCGAGGAGAUGGAGGUAUCAGAAAGUGAUGACAGAAGUGGGGGAUUGGCAAUGUUU